AACGAACGCUGGCGGCAUGCCUAACACAUGCAAGUCGAACGAGACCUUCGGGUCUAGUGGCGCACGGGUGCGUAACGCGUGGGAACCUGCCCUUAGGUUCGGAAUAACUCCCCGAAAGGGGUGCUAAUACCGGAUAAUGUCUUCGGACCAAAGAUUUAUCGCCUUUGGAUGGGCCCGCGUUGGAUUAGCUAGUUGGUAGGGUAAAAGCCUACCAAGGCGACGAUCCAUAGCUGGUCUGAGAGGAUGAUCAGCCACACUGGGACUGAGACACGGCCCAGACUCCUACGGGAGGCAGCAGUGGGGAAUAUUGGACAAUGGGCGAAAGCCUGAUCCGGCAAUGCCGCGUGAGUGGUGAAGGCCUUAGGGUUGUAAAGCUCUUUUACCCGGGAUGAUAAUGACAGUACCGGGAGAAUAAGCUCCGGCUAACUCCGUG
Molecule: ribosomal RNA, 433 nt
Filed under: uncultured bacterium
Lineage: Bacteria
Description: partial 16S ribosomal RNA
Rfam family: Bacterial small subunit ribosomal RNA
Source: RNAcentral